CGGCAAUGAUGAGAGGAUCUGUCCCUGCAUGGAGUGUUCAGUGCUGCGUGGAGACACCAGUCCCUCUAAACUGAGCUUGCCG
Molecule: small nucleolar RNA, 82 nt
Filed under: Mesitornis unicolor (brown roatelo)
Lineage: Eukaryota; Metazoa; Chordata; Aves; Mesitornithiformes; Mesitornithidae
Description: Small nucleolar RNA SNORD127
Rfam family: Small nucleolar RNA SNORD127
Source: Rfam by way of RNAcentral